UCCAUUUACCACCCCAACACCACCACCACCACCACCAUCCAUAUCCACCUCCAAACCAGCACUACAACAACCGGCUUCACCAUAGCACCACCUACUUCAUAUAAUAAUAAAAACAAAUUUAAUUAAAACCUAUCUGUUCGGCAAGCUCCACCAUCGCCGGUGAACUACCAUACUCACACUCACAAUCGAUACCAUACGUCACAAUCGCCGCCGGAAUCAAGACUUAGUACCACUCGCCGUUGAACUAUCAUACGUCACAAUCGAUAUACGACUCACCGCCGCCGCUGAACUACCACCCUCCACAACCUCCUCCUCCCUGCAUCAAACUGUCGGAAUCACAAACCUCGGAGAACUGCGGCGAACCCACACCCACACCUCCAACGACCUGCUCCUUUUCCUGUUUUGAUUAAAACCGGUCACCACCACCAAUACAAUGGUACCCGCCCUUUCACUAUCUUUUCAGCUUCAUCACUCGUAACCCUAGUUAACUAUCAAUUCCCACUUCUCUAAUUCCACUAUAAAUGUAACAAUAAUCAUUGAGAAAUGAGUACAGAUCGAAAGUUCAAAAUGGUUUGCUUUGCUUUGAAGAUCUUGUACAUAACUUGAGCAUAAGAAAUCAACACCCAACUGUACGAUUAACGAGAUUAACGGAUCAUACGAUUUGAGUGGCGGAACGUCACAGAUGUAAGUCCAUCGGCUCAUAUGAUUUAAGUGGCGGAUCAUACGAUUUAAGUGACGGGUUAAACGCAGAUGUAUGAUUGAAGGUGCGGUAACUUCGGAGACGACGGUCGGAGAAAGGGCUCCUUACCGGAGAAGAAAGUAGGGUGGGGGUGGGCUGGGAUUGGAUUUAAUAAUAAAAGGUGGGUCCAUUUACUUCUUAAAUGAUAAAAAAUAUAUAUUUGUUUUAAUGUUUUAAUUAAUGUAAGGGUAUUUUUGUCAUUUUACACACACU
RNAcentral lists this long non-coding RNA (952 nucleotides) under Helianthus annuus (common sunflower). RNAcentral describes it as "hypothetical non coding rna". The record is from RNAcentral. Lineage: Eukaryota; Viridiplantae; Streptophyta; Magnoliopsida; Asterales; Asteraceae.